GUGCCAGCAGCCGCGGUAAUACGUAGGUGGCAAGCGUUGUCCGGAUUUAUUGGGCGUAAAGCGAGCGCAGGCGGUUUUUUAAGUCUGAUGUGAAAGCCUUCGGCUCAACCGAAGAAGUGCAUCGGAAACUGGGAAACUUGAGUGCAGAAGAGGACAGUGGAACUCCAUGUGUAGCGGUGAAAUGCGUAGAUAUAUGGAAGAACACCAGUGGCGAAGGCGGCUGUCUGGUCUGUAACUGACGCUGAGGCUCGAAAGUAUGGGUAGCAAACAGGAUUAGAUACCCUGGUAGUCCAUACCGUAAACGAUGAAUGCUAAGUGUUGGAGGGUUUCCGCCCUUCAGUGCUGCAGCUAACGCAUUAAGCAUUCCGCCUGGGGAGUACGGCCGCAAGGCUGAAACUCAAAGGAAUUGACGGGGGCCCGCACAAGCGGUGGAGCAUGUGGUUUAAUUCGAAGCUACGCGAAGAACCUUACCAGGUCUUGACAUACUAUGCAAAUCUAAGAGAUUAGACGUUCCCUUCGGGGACAUGGAUACAGGUGGUGCAUGGUUGUCGUCAGCUCGUGUCGUGAGAUGUUGGGUUAAGUCCCGCAACGAGCGCAACCCUUAUUAUCAGUUGCCAGCAUUAAGUUGGGCACUCUGGUGAGACUGCCGGUGACAAACCGGAGGAAGGUGGGGAUGACGUCAAAUCAUCAUGCCCCUUAUGACCUGGGCUACACACGUGCUACAAUGGAUGGUACAACGAGUUGCGAACUCGCGAGAGUAAGCUAAUCUCUUAAAGCCAUUCUCAGUUCGAAUUGUAGGCUGCAACUCGCCUACAUGAAGUCGGAAUCGCUAGUAAUCGCGGAUCAGCAUGCCGCGGUGAAUACGUUCCCGGGCCUUGUACACACCGCCCGU
RNAcentral lists this ribosomal RNA (892 nucleotides) under uncultured bacterium. Its description in RNAcentral is "bacterial SSU rRNA". It matches the Rfam family "Bacterial small subunit ribosomal RNA", at positions 505 to 1397 of the family's 1533-position model. The record is from RNAcentral.